AUGUGAUCGUCUCUCGCAUAUCAAUAAGCGGAGGAAAAGAAACUAACAAGGAUUCCCCUAGUAACGGCGAGUGAAGCGGGAAGAGCUCAAAUUUGAAAUCUUAAAGGGUUUCCCUUUACGAAUUGUAGUUUAAAGAAGUGUUUUCUGUUGAGGUUUUGGUAAAAGUUCCUUGGAAUAGGACAUCAUAGAGGGUGAGAAUCCCGUAUUUGACCUUUACUUUCAACUUUGUGAUACACUUUCAAAGAGUCGGAUUGUUUGGGAAUGCAGUCCAAAAUGGGUGGUAAAUUUCAUCUAAAGCUAAAUAUUGGCGAGAGACCGAUAGCGAACAAGUACCGUGAGGGAAAGAUGAAAAGAACUUUGAAAAGAGAGUUAAACAGUACGUGAAAUUGUCAAAAGGGAAGCGUUUGACACCAGUGUUGUUUUUCUGAAAAUCAAUUAAAGAACUGUUUAUGCUAAGUUGUUUAGACUUUAUCAGCUAACUGUUUAGUUUUGAGCUUUUCUUUAAUGCACUUUUCAGUUAACAAGUCAACAUCAAUUUCUUUUGCUGUAAAAAAGCUUGAGGAAGGUGGCUUGAGAUUCGUCUUAAGUGUUUAUAGCCUCUUGCCUAUGCAGUCGGAGAGAUUGAGGUCUGCAGCGUAGAUCCUUCGGGGCUAAAUGCAUUUGUGCUAAGUUAUAGCAUUUUAUAGACAACUUGUUGACUAUGAUUUGUCUUGUAGCUUACUCGCUUAUGUUAUUUUACCUACGCUUAGGAUGUUGAAGUCAUCGUAUCGCGC
RNAcentral lists this ribosomal RNA (773 nucleotides) under uncultured Neocallimastigales. RNAcentral describes it as "partial large subunit ribosomal RNA". It matches the Rfam family "Eukaryotic large subunit ribosomal RNA", at positions 24 to 645 of the family's 3401-position model. The record is from RNAcentral. Lineage: Eukaryota; Fungi; Neocallimastigomycota; Neocallimastigomycetes; Neocallimastigales.